Molecule: ribosomal RNA, 609 nt
Filed under: Natarsia punctata
Lineage: Eukaryota; Metazoa; Arthropoda; Insecta; Diptera; Chironomidae
Description: partial 28S ribosomal RNA
Rfam family: Eukaryotic large subunit ribosomal RNA
Source: RNAcentral
AAUGGUGUGCACUUUUCUCUUAGUAAGACGUUGUGAUCCAUUAGGAAUAAAUCAUCCCUCUGGUUUGAUGAUUGUUAGGCUACCAAUAGGCUGACAUUGAAGUUCACUGUGACAAAUAAUACAGUCUUUACGGCUGUGUAUAUUGUCUAAUGAGCAUGUCAUGUACACUGGUGUAGCUGCCUGAUGGGUUUUAAAGGUUAUAUCAUUGAUGCUUUUGUCAUCAUCUAUUCGCAAGAAUGGAAUCUUAAAAAAGAUAUAUACCCGAUCAACAACGGUUUCAUUUGGGAUACCUUUGGGACCCGUCUUGAAACACGGACCAAGGAGUCUAUCUAGUAUGCGAGUAAAUGGGAUUCAUAGAAACCUAUUUGCAUAAAUAACUUGACUGUUUUUAAUGGGAUUACGAGUAUAUGUACUUUUACGAGGUAUACUCCUCCAUCCCGGGGUAUUUUCAUCACAUAUAUGGGCAACUAUAUAUAGAAAAUAUACCAUGAGCAUACUGGACAUGACCCGAAAGAUGGUGAACUAUGCCUGAUCAGGUUGAAGUCAGGGGAAACCCUGAUGGAGGACCGAAGCAAUUCUGACGUGCAAAUCGAUUGUCAGAAUUGGGCA